RNAcentral lists this long non-coding RNA (263 nucleotides) under Pelobates cultripes (western spadefoot toad). Lineage: Eukaryota; Metazoa; Chordata; Amphibia; Anura; Pelobatidae. The record is from RNAcentral.
CCCUACCUCACAUACCUGUCUCUUGCCCUCUCCUAAAGGGCAGCCCACCUUAUUUGAUUGCAAAUUCCUGUCCUAAUGUGUUUUACACCCCACCUCCUAUAGAAUGUAAGCUCGAUUGAGCAGGGUCCUCUUCAACCUAUUGUUCCUGUAAGUUUAUUUGUAAUUGUCCUAUUUAUAGUUAAAUCCCCUCUCAUAAUAUUGUAAAGCGCUACGGAAUCUGUUGGCGCUAUAUAAAUGGUAAUAAUAAUAAUAAUAAUAAUAAU